This 241-nucleotide unclassified non-coding RNA is filed under the name Corticium sp. (in: basidiomycete fungi). RNAcentral's name for it is "partial contains 5.8S ribosomal RNA, internal transcribed spacer 2, and large subunit ribosomal RNA". Lineage: Eukaryota; Fungi; Basidiomycota; Agaricomycetes; Corticiales; Corticiaceae. The record is from RNAcentral.
AACGCACAUUGCGCCCUGUAGUAUUCCGCAGGGCAUGCCUGUUCGAGCGUCAUUUAACCACUCACGCCUGGCGUGGUAUUGGGGUACGCGGUCUCGCGGCCCUUAAAAUCAGUGGCGGUGCCGUCUGGCUCUAAGCGUAGUAAUUUCUCUCGCUAUAGGGUUCCCGGUGGUUACUUGCCAGAACCCCCCAAUUUUUUACUAGGUUGACCUCGGAUCAGGUAGGGAUACCCGCUGAACUUAA